This 343-nucleotide long non-coding RNA is filed under the name Homo sapiens (human). Its description in RNAcentral is "non-protein coding lnc-STRN3-17:1". The record is from RNAcentral. Lineage: Eukaryota; Metazoa; Chordata; Mammalia; Primates; Hominidae.
UUAGCUGGGCAUGGUGCCCCAUGCCUGUAGUCCCACCUACACAGGAGGUUGAAGCACGAGAACCUUGGAGGCAGAGGUUGCAGUGAGCCGAGAUCGUGCCAGUUGACUCCAGCCUGGGUGACAAAGUGAGACUCUGUCUCAAAAAAAAAAAUAUAUGUGUAUAUUUUUAAAUUUCUUGAUGGCAACAUUUUAAAUGUCUAAAAUAUUCUCCAUGACUAAUUUAUUAUUAUAACUGUUGUCACUUAUUACUUAUAUAACUAUAUAGAUAUUAUUCAGUAAGAUAAAUAUUCUGUAAAUCUUUAUGCUUGUAUAACAAAAAUUAAAAUAUUACUGGAAAUACAUU